UAUAACGGUCCUAAGGUAGCGAAAUUCCUUGUCGGGUAAGUUCCGACCUGCACGAAUGGCGUAAUGAUGGCCAGGCUGUCUCCACCCGAGACUCAGUGAAAUUGAACUCGCUGUGAAGAUGCAGUGUACCCGCGGCAAGACGGAAAGACCCCGUGAACCUUUACUAUAGCUUGACACUGAACAUUGAGCCUUGAUGUGUAGGAUAGGUGGGAGGCUUUGAAGUGUGGACGCCAGUCUGCAUGGAGCCGACCUUGAAAUACCACCCUUUAAUGUUUGAUGUUCUAACGUUGACCCGUAAUCCGGGUUGCGGACAGUGUCUGGUGGGUAGUUUGACUGGGGCGGUCUCCUCCUAAAGAGUAACGGAGGAGCACGAAGGUUGGCUAAUCCUGGUCGGACAUCAGGAGGUUAGUGCAAUGGCAUAAGCCAGCUUGACUGCGAGCGUGACGGCGCGAGCAGGUGCGAAAGCAGGUCAUAGUGAUCCGGUGGUUCUGAAUGGAAGGGCCAUCGCUCAACGGAUAAAAGGUACUCCGGGGAUAACAGGCUGAUACCGCCCAAGAGUUCAUAUCGACGGCGGUGUUUGGCACCUCGAUGUCGGCUCAUCACAUCCUGGGGCUGAAGUAGGUCCCAAGGGUAUGGCUGUUCGCCAUUUAAAGUGGUACGCGAGCUGGGUUUAGAACGUCGUGAGACAGUUCGGUCCCUAUCUGCCGUGGGCGCUGGAGAACUGAGGGGGGCUGCUCCUAGUACGAGAGGACCGGAGUGGACGCAUCACUGGUGUUCGGGUUGUCAUGCCAAUGGCACUGCCCGGUAGCUAAAUGCGGAAGAGAUAAGUGCUGAAAGCAUCUAAGCACGAAACUUGCCCCGAGAUGAGUUCUCCCUGACUCCUUGAGAGUCCUGAAGGAACGUUGAAGACGACGACGUUGAUAGGCCGGGUGUGUAAGCGCAGCGAUGCGUUGAGCUAACCGGUACUAAUGAACCGUGAGG
This 981-nucleotide ribosomal RNA is filed under the name Escherichia coli. RNAcentral's name for it is "partial 23S ribosomal RNA". It matches the Rfam family "Bacterial large subunit ribosomal RNA", at positions 1941 to 2916 of the family's 2925-position model. Lineage: Bacteria; Pseudomonadati; Pseudomonadota; Gammaproteobacteria; Enterobacterales; Enterobacteriaceae. The record is from RNAcentral.